Molecule: ribosomal RNA, 253 nt
Filed under: uncultured bacterium
Lineage: Bacteria
Description: partial 16S ribosomal RNA
Rfam family: Bacterial small subunit ribosomal RNA
Source: RNAcentral
UACGAAGGGAGCUAGCGUUGUUCGGAAUCACUGGGCGUAAAGCGCACGUAGGCGGAUGUGUCAGUCAGGGGUGAAAUCCCGGAGCUCAACUUCGGAACUGCCUUUGAUACAGCACGUCUUGAGUCCGAUAGAGGUGGGUGGAAUUCCUAGUGUAGAGGUGAAAUUCGUAGAUAUUAGGAAGAACACCAGUGGCGAAGGCGGCUAUCUGGACGGUUUCUGACGCUAAGACGCGAAAGCGUGGGGAGCAAACAGG